RNAcentral lists this ribosomal RNA (699 nucleotides) under Triticum aestivum (bread wheat). Its description in RNAcentral is "partial small subunit ribosomal RNA". Lineage: Eukaryota; Viridiplantae; Streptophyta; Magnoliopsida; Poales; Poaceae. The record is from RNAcentral.
AUGGAGACCAUGCGGAGCUACGCCGAGGACAUCGACGGCGGUCGGUCGCCGUCGGUCUCGAUGCUGUCGGAGGUGGCCGCUGCCAGGAAGAUCACCAUCGUCGGCGGAUCCGUGCCCGAGAUGGCUUCCGGGCAGCUGUUCAACACCUGCUGCGUGGUCGGGCCUGACGGGGAGAUCAAGGCCAAGCACAGGAAGCUGCAUCUGUUUGGAAUUGACAUCCCCGGAGACAUCACUUUCAGGGAAUCCGAUACCUUCACUCCUGGGCAAGAACCCACUGUAGUUGACACAGACGUUGGACGGAUUGGUAUUGGGAUUUGUCAUGAUAUCCGCUUCCCAGAACUGGCAAUGCUGUAUCGAUCAAGAGGUGCACACUUGAUAUGCUAUCCUUCUGCAUUCAACAUGAGCACCGGGCAGCUCCUCUGGGACCUUAUGCAAAAGUCCAGGGCUGUUGACAAUCAGUUGUUCGUGGCGACCUGCUCACCUGCACGAGACCCCAACUCGCAGUCGGACUUCGUGGCCUGGGGCAACUCAAGCCUCAUCGGACCAUUUGGCGAGGUUCUUGCGGCGGCAGGGCACGAGGACGCGACCGUCAUCGGCGAGAUCGACCUGUCUUUGAUUGAAGCUGUGAGGGCGAACCUCCCUUUGGAAACGCAGGGUAGAGGGGAUCUGUACAGGUUGGUCGAUGUCGAGAGGGAAUGA